Molecule: long non-coding RNA, 135 nt
Filed under: Lutzomyia longipalpis
Lineage: Eukaryota; Metazoa; Arthropoda; Insecta; Diptera; Psychodidae
Description: sphinx conserved region 2
Rfam family: Sphinx conserved region 2
Source: RNAcentral
GGCAGGGGCUGUGAGCCGAGCAUUCUGGCGAUGGCAGCACAAGUACGUGCAGCCCAAGAGGACUGGAGUUGCUCCAUUCUUCCAGCUCACGGUCAGUGCUAUGAUUUUCUUCUACUGCAUCAACUACGGAAAGAU